RNAcentral lists this ribosomal RNA (208 nucleotides) under uncultured Bacillota bacterium. Its description in RNAcentral is "uncultured Firmicutes bacterium partial 16S ribosomal RNA". It matches the Rfam family "Bacterial small subunit ribosomal RNA", at positions 568 to 775 of the family's 1533-position model. The record is from RNAcentral. Lineage: Bacteria; Bacillati; Bacillota.
CGCGUAGGCGGGAUCGCAAGUCAGAUGUGAAAUGUCGGGGCUUAACCCUGGAACUGCAUUUGAAACUGUGAUUCUUGAGUAUCGGAGAGGCAGGCGGAAUUCCAAGUGUAGCGGUGAAAUGCGUAGAUAUUUGGAGGAACACCAGUGGCGAAGGCGGCCUGCUGGACGACAACUGACGCUGAGGCGCGAAAGCGUGGGGAGCAAACAG